AUGGACUUGGUGCCAAGCUGCGUUUUCCUCCUGAUCAUUUUUCAAGGUGUCCAGUGUGAGGUGCAGCUGGUGGAGUCUGGGGGAGGCUUGGUGCCACCUGGGGGGUCUCUGAGACUCUCCUGUGCAGCCUCUGGAUUCACCUUCAGUAGCUCCUGGAUGGACUGGGUCCGCCAGGCUCCAGGGAAGGGGCUGGAGUGGCUUGGUGAAAUUAAUCCUGAUGGAAGUACCACAAACUAUGCCAAUGCUGUGAAGGGCCGAUUCACCAUCUCCAGGGACAACGCCAAGAACAUGCUGUAUCUGCAAAUGAACAGCCUGAGCGCCCAGGACACGGCUGUGUAUUACUGUGUGAGAGACACACAGUUCCCCAGUUGCCCAGCUCUGGGAACCACAUGGUGUGUGUCUGAGACACAAGUGAAGCACAGUGUCCUGUCCCAGGUGCAGCUGCAGGAGUCGGGCUCCACGGUGGUGCAGCCCUCGCAGACCCUGUCCCUCACCUGUGCCAUCUCUGGGGACAGUGUCUCUAGCAACACUGCCACUUGGGACUGGAUCAGGCAGCCCCCAGGGGAAGGGCUCCAGUGA
Molecule: non-coding RNA, 579 nt
Organism: Myotis lucifugus (little brown bat)
Lineage: Eukaryota; Metazoa; Chordata; Mammalia; Chiroptera; Vespertilionidae
Source: the annotation of a RefSeq genome assembly